Molecule: non-coding RNA, 1887 nt
Organism: Carica papaya (papaya)
Lineage: Eukaryota; Viridiplantae; Streptophyta; Magnoliopsida; Brassicales; Caricaceae
Source: RefSeq, a predicted model, not a curated record
AAAAUUUACAAAUUAGUUAGUAUGUCUUUAAUAUUCCAAAAAUCCUCCACCCUAUAUAUGUCAUGCCUCAAAAUCAAGGACGAAAAUAAUGAAAUCACCUUUCCUUGAUCUUAGAUAUCUCACUCUCAUUACCCACAAAAGCCGUAUUGUUCAUUUCUUUGCGAAUCACCCAGACAAUAGUAAGUGGUAUAAGCGUUAUAAAUUGUCUUUUCUCACAUACCUUACCAAGCCCAAAUCUGUUCCCUCACUGAACCCGCAAUAACCCAGUUUAUUUCUACAGCCUGUAGAUCAUCUUAGUUCAUAAGCCAUCGUGCAUCAAAGAAGAAUAUGAUUACAUGAAAGGAUUAUAGAUAGAAAUAGAAAGGAUUGUAUUUCCAUGUAAUCUAGAGUUUAUUGUAAUAGUGUGGGAUAAUACUAAAUCUUUUGUAGUAUUGGGAUUUGUUUAUUGUUUAUAUUCUUUUAAGCUACAAGUUUUCCUAUUAUAAUUCUUCAAUUAUUAUAGUUAUAUUUGGAUUUUGUAUUUAAUUUGUGAAAAUUUUUUGUCAUUUCACUUUUGAGAUCAAUCCACAAGUCAACAAAUUUAUCUGUAAGAUUUUCUCUAUACCUCAGUGUGCAUGAUGCAAUCAAAUUUUAACAUGAUGUGUAAGAGCCUCUUAAGUAUGAGGUCUAGGUUUCUCUCAAAUCCCUGAAUCAGCAAAUUAAUGCUUUACAUGACAAAGCAAAACUUCUUUGAACUUCUUGGUAAAAAAGUUUUUGUAUGGAAUUGUGGGUUAUUUGAGAACCUUUUAUAUUAGUCUCCUUCCUAAGUGAAAUGAGCAGUGGAUAAUAUUUCUUUCAAGUCGUCCAUGAUUGCUGAAUGUAAUAAUGAUUAGUAAGCAUUUUCAAAAAAGAAAAAAAAUGAUUAAUAAGGUUGUAAUAAUGUUAUUAAAUGAUGCUAAUUAAAAUGUGGUGUGGUAUGCUUAGACGGGUCAGCUUAUAAUUUUGAGAGACUGAAUAACUGGAUAUAAGUGCAAUCACAAGCAUGAAAUCAAGUGAUGGUUGACUGACUAGAGAUAAUGGUGGGAUUGGAAGAAUGCUACUUAGCUCUAUUUGGCUCAGGAACAGCAUUGCCUGCUUCAAAUGGCAUUAGUUUUCAACUAUAAUCUUUACUAUGAUACUUACAUUAAAAGCAAAUCUCAUUUGCAUCCCUUACUUUGGACCUUUUCAUCAUUGCCCUUCCUAGCAUUUGAGUUCAAGUGAAAUAUCAUAAUUUACUAAUUUUUUUUUUAUUAUGUGCUCUGCAAAUCUGGUUUUAAAAAGCAGCAAAAUGUCAGACAUUGAAUUUGAGUGGAUCUAUGAAAGGGAAAAUUAGCAGUUUCAACACAGCUUUGAUAUGGCUGGUGUUACAUUUUCUAACUGGGUUGGGAGAGAACUUAAUUGGAACAAUUUGCAAAUUCUCGUACCUAACUUGGUAAAUAAUGAAAAACUAUGAUAUAAAUACAUGGGGGGGAAUUUUAGGAAUAGAACAUAGAAGCUAGGGUAGCUGUUCCAAAUUUCAAAUUUUUAUUUGUCUGGUUGCUGCACUUUUUCUCUGUUGCUUCUUUUUCAGCUUCUUUCAAAUGAUAGGUUAACAAUAAUAAAUUUAAGGUGGGACCCUGGUGACACAGGUUUCUGCUAAUUUCUUCUAUCUUUUUGCUACAUUAUUGAAGGGAUAAGGUGCUUUGAUUAAUUUGUGGUGCUUUCACUAAUAUAUUUAACAUAUUCUUUCAGAGAUCUAAAGAAAAGGAAGGACUAAAAGAGAAGGGAGCAGGUUCCUCAAAGGAUGUGGAAAAGGUAUCUAAAAUAGGAAGGAAGAAAGAGACUGUGUCCUCGCAUGCGGACAAAGGAAAAGCAAGUAAUGAUCCAAAA